RNAcentral lists this non-coding RNA (136 nucleotides) under Fragilariopsis kerguelensis. Lineage: Eukaryota; Bacillariophyta; Bacillariophyceae; Bacillariales; Bacillariaceae. The record is from RNAcentral.
CAGAAAAGCGAAGCGAAGAAUCGUUACAAAUUCUGUGAUAGCCUUUCUAUAGAGAUAAAGAACGAACGAACAAACAUAAAAAAGAUCUCCCGUAUAUUGUGAUUGAUUGGUCUCACACAUACGUAUAUACCUACGA